UCUGCAGAGGUUGCGCACUUUUUCCCACAAGACUCGACCACCUCCAUGAUGGGAAGAUCGAGACAUAGUCUUUCGAAAAUGUUUCUCCUUCACCCACGGAUAGGUCGGUACACCUACAUCAUUCUAUAUCUGCUAGCCCAUCCCGGAAGGGGUCACACUAACUACUCAACUAAGCCAGAGCCCAUAUUGGCUUGUGGCAGCACACGUAAGCUUCUAGGCAUGAGAACACGAUUGAUCUCUUUGAGCCUGAGCGGACGGUCCACUAGUGGUGCACCACCAUGGAUUUCCCAUGCGUGCCCCACUGUACUUCGCCACCAUUCCAACAAGUUUCCGCCCAGGUAGUUCAUUAAUUAUCUUAGGUCCUAUUUACUACAUUUUCACUCAACCUUUACCAUGAUCACUCCCCAGUCCAUGUCUACUUAGCGAAGCAACAUAAUGUAAAAUGAUGGCGACAAUGUUAUAUGGUUCAGACCUACCUCAAUGAACUACUGGGUGAAAAGCAUAGUCAUAUGGCAUUAAUUCCUACCAUGCAGUCCUACCGCAAAGAACUAAGUGCAUAAAAAAAUAUAGGUAAUGAAAACAUGAUCAAGAUGCAACUUGCCUUGGUACUGCUGGUUGAAUUCUAAAGACUAAUAAUAUUCUGCUUCGCACUCCGGGCAAUCUACCGCAAAGAAAAUAAACAAACAUAAGCAAACAUUCCAGAGAACCAAAAGAACAUGCAAAGCAAAAAGUCUUGAAAAAACCAAAUGAACAUACAACACACUAAGCUACCACAAAAAUAUUCUAAGUGCAAAACAACAUAGGCCUAUGGUUCAAAAAGUGAUGUGAGCUAUAGUGCAUACUAAUAAAAAUAUUAAAGGCUAGAUUCUAAUGUGUGAAAACUAUUGUGACAAAGGUCCAGAUGAUAGGGUUCGGCUAUGGUGACAGAAUGCAAAAGGAAUCAACUUAAUCGGAGCUUUGGUUUGGGAGAUAUGGUCAUUUGAAGUUCGAAUUAGAAUCUGAAUAAAUUCAAAUUUGAAUCUACCAAAAGUUUGCAAAAAGGGUACCACUGGAUAGAACUAAACAUGACGAAGAAUUUGCCGUUGGUUUCAUCGAGUUUGGAUCUACGGUUUAAAAGUUAUGGCUAAUCUAAGAUCGGGGACUAAUCUGUGAUAAAAGGGACUAGACAAUGAAGAAAAACUAUCACAAACAGGUCCUUAGCGCGUGGCAGAUUCCUACUGGCCGAAAGGUGUUCGCCGCGUAGCUUAUACAGCGGACGACCACAAUCUAAGAAAAACGGCGGCGGCGGCUAACUUAUACAGAAACCGAUCGGUUUUUAGAAUAAAAACCCGCGGUUAACUGCGUACGGUUCAACUAAAAAACAAACUAUCCUAAUCUAAUCUGGGCCGUAGGUGAUCGAUCUAACGGGAGGGAGUGGGGCGGUGGCUUACAGCGGGUGGUGGUGGUGGCCGGCGACGCGGCGUCGGUGACGGAGGGGCGGCGGCUGCGGUGGUCCUCGGCGACGGGGAAGAAGACGAGGAGGUGCGGAGCGGUUUGGGCGUCCGGAUGGUGGCAUCGGGGCUCAUCAGGGGCGUCGGGGUCGGCGAGGCGAAGGCGGAGGCACUCCGUGGGCUCCGGCGAGGUCGGGUGUCGUCGGGGGCGGGUGCUCCGGCGGGUCCUGGGGUCAAAAAACAUGUCAAACAGAUGCGCGUUGUCGCGGGGAUCCAAUUGACAAAGGAAGGAGAGCUAGGGGGUGCCACAGACGACGAAAUGGACGACGGAGUGGCACGGCUCUGGCGUGAUGCGAACGGCGACAGCGAGCGGUAGGGGCGGCGUGGGAAGAAGCUGGACGGCGAGGUUGGAAGAGGGGGUCCUGGCCUUUAUAUAGGCGUGGCUAGGAGCGCUACGGGGCUGCGGAUAAGCCUCAUCCGCGAGGGAGCCGAGCGGCGGUUGCGGGGGCGCGGCGAGGAUGUUUAUCCUGCGGGCUGCGGGAGGUUGGGGACGAGCUGACGAGCGGGGCCUGCCUGGCAGCGGCAGGGAGAGGAGGCGAGCGAGGGCGCAUGCGGGGCGGUCGACCGGUGUCGGAGGGUUUCGGGCGCUGGGCGCUGGGCGCUGGCCUUGGGCCAAAUGGCUAGCUGGGCCGGUUGGGACGCUCCUGGGCCGAACCCAGUUUCGGUCCAGGCUGCGGUGAGUGCGUGUGUGCGUGCGUGUUUCUUUUUUUUUAACCAAACACUAAAGUGGCCCUAAAUAAUUCAAAUGAAUUAAUAAAAACACCAAAAUAAUUUCUAAAAUAACUAUAUAAUAUUUAGAACCUAAUGAACAUUAACUUACGCACAGAACAUUUUGAAAAUAUUUUGCUAAUGCAAUUAAUGCACUUUUUGCAUAAAAGAUAAAUACUGAUAAACUUCAAAACUUCAAAUAAUAUUCAAAAUAAAAUUUCCCACUCCUUUAUAAGUUUGAGGAAGCCAUCUUAUCCCCUCUCAUUCGUUUUUCUCGAGUGGAAAAAUAUUAGUUGAAUACUUCAAAAACUCCAAAAUGCAAAGAAAUAUGAUAUGCAUUGAAUGAUUCUAUUAACAUCCAAAUUUAAUAAAAAUUGGGAUGUUACAUACUACCCUAUAAAAAUAUGUUUGCUUAGCCUGCACCAACGUAAAUUUACGCACACACAAAUAAAAAAGGCUGUACUAUCUAUGUUUUCUUGCGGGGAGUUAUUACACUACCCUACAAAAAUAUGUUCGCUUAGCCUGUACCAGCGUAAAUUUAGGCGAACACAAACAAAAAAGGCUGUACUAUCACUGUUUUCUUGCGGGUACUCAGUUAUUACACUACCCACUCAGUUAUAUUACCCUAGAAAAAUAUGUUCGCUUAGCCUGGAAGCAAGGAAGAUACGGAGUAUAUGCGUGCCACUGCAAGUAUAUAAGCAAGCCCCCGUCCCUCCUCUACAUUCAUCCAUCAUACAAUCCAUCUUGAAGGUCUUAAUCUGUCAUAGAACCCUCUCAAUCUUUCACAGGAAAACUAGAUGGAUCGGUCCAUGAAGGUCUUUGCGGUCGUCUUCCUGCUCCUUGUGGCCACAGGUGUGUAUGUUGUACUUACUGUUUAAGAUAACUGAUAAUACUGCUAAAUUAUGUAUCAAAACGUUGUAUAUUUUGGAACGGAGGUAGUAUGUGAGGUGGCUGAUUUGCUCUUAACAAUUUGCCCGUGUAGGCUUCCAGGGAGCGGUGCAGGUUGCUUUGGCGAGGGACUGUACUUCACAGAGCCACAAGUUUGUGGGGCUGUGCCUGAGCGACCGCAACUGUGCAAGUGUUUGCCUGACCGAGUAUUUCACCGGAGGCAAGUGCGACCACCGACGUUGUGUCUGUACCAAGGGCUGCUAGAUGGCCCGUAAUCUUCUUGCACACAUGCUUCCGUGUAAUAAUAAUAACUGCUGAAUAAUAAGACUAGAUCUGCAUCUAUGCAUGUAUGAUGCAUAUGUGAGUGCUACUCCUAGAAAGUACAUGAACAUCAUAUAAUCCGAACAAAGUUUCAGCAGGGAACCAGUUCGAGUUGAAUAACCCAACACUCCGGAACCGGAGCGGCUACCGUUCUCGGGAUUGAAGCGAAUAUAAGCUUAAAAACUGGAACAAAUGAGACAUGAAACUUUACUGGAAGUCUAGAAGGGAAGUCAUAUUUCGUAAGAAAGAAAAAUAAAUCGUGGGAGUAGACAUAGCACCACACCAGAAGAUUUGGCCAUGACUUAGUGCAGAACCAAAAGUACCUAAGAAUCUACACAGAUUACAAGAACCGAACUUGCAGGAGUAACUUUUGCAGAAUUGCUGCUAUGUAUACAGAAGUAUUGUGGAGACAAGAGAUCUAAGAAUCUAGUUCGGCAAUCUACAUAUUUUAGACCAAUUCAUUGUGUUGAGCUGAAGGACAUCAUAUGACAAAGAAAGUAACACCCAGAUCUGCUGUCCAGACUCACAUACCUCAGUCACAGAACAAAAUAUACGAGGAUGGACGACAGGCCCGAGGUGUCAUUUUUACAGCUCAGUUUAAUAAUUUGGGAUAAAUCUAUGGCUUCGUGUAAUUAAUUUUUAAAUUUAUACGUUUCCUUAAAAGUUUUGCAACCAGAAUGUAUAUGGUUUUCUGGAUGAAUACGGUUUCAACAUAUAGGGUCUGAAAUAAGAGAGACGUAGCCUAAACAUCCAACAUUUUAUUUCUUCGUGCCCAGACCAGUAAACAACCCAUGGCAGUUCUAACACUACUAAAUUAACUAAAUGACAAAGUGAAGAAAUCAUGGUGGAUUGAUACUUUCGUCUUAUAAAGCUUUCUUUUUAGCUUAUCCAGAACCGUAUAGUCUGUCUAACUAUAUAUGAGAUCUCUGGUUUUCAGAACUGUCAUUCUGUAACGUUGGCUCCCACAUAUUUUUGGCUUGGUUUGUGCACAGCCAAGAAAAACUUCUCACAUAAAAAUUUAGCCCAAAAAGAUAGCAGUAAACUAAUGCAGAUAUGUCGUGAACAUUUUCUAAUUUCCUAAUUGUUUUUUGAAUUUGUGAAUAAAAUCUGAAAACGGGGACAAUUUUUUAAAUUCUGAACAGUUUUUGAAAAGCAAAACAUUUUUUGAAAUUGCCAAAGAAAUCAGAAAUGCAAUUAUGUUUUAGUUUGCGAACAAAAUUUGAAAACAGAAACAUUUUCUGAAAAUUUCAAACAUUUGUUAACAUUUUAAACGAUAUUGGAAUGCCAAACAUUUUUGAAGAAAUAUAAAAGAAACUUGAAAAGGAAAAGAAGUAAGAAAAACAAAAAACCAAAAACCCACAAAAACCAGGUACAAUAAAAAAAAACGUUUUAGGAACCUUCUAGAAGGUUCUCAAAACCGCUCAGGAACCUUUCCUAAACCGGGAUCAGUCGAACACUUUACGGGCCGGCCUAGAACGGUCGCUCUGUGCUCUGUGCUCGGUCUCGUCGCUUGCGGCGGUCCAGUUCAUCAGCUCAAAAAGCAUCCUUGUAUGCGAAGGUGCUCCCUCAGAUCUAGGAAUGGUGGAUGCUCUCCUUUUUCUCUGGCGUUGCCUUGGCGAUGGCAAAGAAGAAUGGUGGACAACGAUUUACAAGGCGCAAGGUUCUCUCCAUGUGAAAUUGUAGUUUUACUGGUUACAGGAACAUUGAUGCAAAAAUGUAAGACACCUAUGUAUGUCUCAUGUAAUGACUGUGUAUGUACUCACUGUAAUAUGUUUCUCUAAUGGAAUAUACGAUGGUUAUUUUAAAAAAAGCGUCGAUAAAUCGACGCAAAGAGCGGCGAAUACGAAAUUUCGUAUAUCAUGGGGAUGCCUUUACGUUUCCGUGGCACUUCAUGGGUAGUGGGCCAGCCCAAGUACGCAAGUGAAAAGGCCACUACAACUUGUAAAUGCAAAUGAUCCAUCUCUCUCUACAAAGAAGGAAAGAAAAAUCCCAAUCAAUUGUGGAAAUAAUCACAACUUGCCCAAUAAAAAAGUUCUGUGAUACUGGAAUAAUAUGUACUCGCCAAAAUAAUAUAAGAAUUUACAUAUGCACGUCGAUGCUAUUUCCUUGCUUCUACUUGUUUUCAGUAUCUUUUAGAACAUAAAGUUUUUUUUUCCUUUUCAGUGCCUAAUUCUUCCAUAUAUUUGCAAAAGGAAGCAAAACAUAGCAGCAACGUACAUAAACAUGCCGCAUCCUAUAUCUAUAUAAAAUAAAAUGUAAGAUGACUAAGAAUUACACACAAGGUGUGGCCGCUCUUCCUAUUUUCACACGUUUUUUUUUUUGCUAGCCUUUCUAUUUUUCACAUGUCAUUUGCACUGCCCUAAAUUCAUGCACACACAAACAAAAGAGUUGCACUGUCCCUGUUUUCUUGCGAGUACCAGUUAUUACACUACCCUACAAGUUGCUCAAAAGAAAUUAUUACACUACUGUACAAAAGCAGGUAGUCACUUAACACUACCCUACAAAAAUAUGUUCGCUUAGCCCGUAAGCAAGAAAGAUAUAACAAGUAUAUAACAAGUCCCCCUCCCCCCUCUACAUUCAUCCAUCGUAAAAUCAGUUUGAAGGGCGCGAACAUUUUCUAAUUUCCUGAUUUUUUUUUGAAUUUGUGAAGAAAAUCUGAAAAUGGGGAGAAUUUUUGAAAUUCUAAACAGUUUUUGAAAAGCAAGGACAUUUUUUGAAAUUGCCAAACAUUUUCAGAAAUGCAUUUUCUUAAUUUGCAAACAAAAUUUGAAAACAGAAACAUUUUUUGAAAUUUUCAAACAUUUUUCAGAAAUGCAUUUUCUUAAUUUGCAAACAAAAUUUGAAAACAGAAACAUUUUUUGAAAUUUUCAAACAUUCAUUAAAAUUUUAAAAAAUAUUGGAAUGCCAAAUAUUUUUAAAAUAAAUAAGAAACUUGAAAAGUAAAAGAAGUAAAAAAAUAAAAAAGAAACAGACAAGAAAACAGAAAAACCCAUAAAAACCAGGCAAAACCGGCCAGGAACCUUUCCUAAACCGGGAUCGGUCGAACACUUUACGACCGGCCCGGAACGCUCUUUCUCUACUCAUGAAGCAUCGGUAAAUCGACGCAAAGAGCGGCGAAUAGGAAAUUGCGUAUAUUUCAUCUAAAAAAAGGAAAUUUCGUAUAUCAUGGGGAUGCCUUUUAGUUUUAGGUUUCUGUGGCACUUCAUUGGUAGUGGGCCGGCCCAAGUACGUAAGUGAAAAGGCCACUACAGCUUUUAAAUGCAAAUGAUGCAUCUCUCUGUAAAGAAAAUGAAAGAAAAACACAAGAAAAAUCCCAAUCAAUUGUAGAAAUAAUCACAACUUGCCCAAUAAAAAAAAUUACUGUGAUCAUUGUCAAAAAUGUGUAUUCGAAAUAAUCUGUGCUCACCAAAAUAAUAAGAAUGUACAUAUGUACGUCGAUGCUAUUUCCUUGCCUCUACUUGUUUUCAGUAUCUUCUAGAAAUUAAAGCAUCUUCUUUUUCAGUACCUAAUUCUUCCAUAUAUUUGCAAAUGGAAGCAAAAUAUAGCAGCAUUGUACAUAAACAUGAAGCAUCCUAUAUCUAUAUAAAAUAAAAUGUAAGAUGACUAAGAAUUGCACACAAGGUGUGGCCGCUCUUCCUAUUUUCACACGGUUUUUUUUGCCAGCCUUUCUAUUUUCACAUGUCAUUUGCACUGCCCUAAAUUCACGCACACACAAACAAAAUAGUUGCACUGUCCCUAUUUUCUUGCGGGUACUCAGUUAUUACACUAUCCUACAAGUUGCUCAAAAAAAGUUAUUACACUACCCUACAAAAGCAGGUAGUCACUUAACACUACCCUACAAAAAUACGUUCGCUUAGCCUGGAAGCAAGGAAGAUAUAUGCAUGCCACUGCAAGUAUAUAACAAGCCCCCCUCCCCCCCUCUACAUUCAUCCAUCGUAAAAUCCAGUUUGAAGGCCUUAAUCUUUCAUACAACCCUCUCAGUUUUCCACAAGAAACUAAAUGGAUCGGUCCAUGAAGGUCUUUGUGGUCGUCUUCCUGCUCCUUGUGGCUACAGGUGCGUAUCCCGUACUUACUACUCCCUCUGUCCGAAAAAGCUUGUCCCUCAAAUGGAUGUCUCUUAAAUGGAUGUAUCUAGCAUCAAGUUAGUGCUAGAUAAAUUCAUUCGAGGGACAAGCUUUUUCGGACAGAGGGAGUAUUUAAGAUAACUGACAAUACUGCUAUAAUUAUGUACUACUGUAUGUGAGAUGGCUGAUUUCCUCCUAUGAAUUUGGCCGUGUAGGGUUCCAGGGAGCAGUGCAGGUAGUUUUGGCGAGGGAGUGUAGGUCAGAGAGCAAAAAAUUUGUGGGGCUGUGCGUGAGCGACACCAACUGUGCAAGCGUUUGCCUGACCGAGCGUUUCCCCGGAGGCAAGUGCGACGGCUAUCGGCGAUGUUUCUGCACAAAGGACUGCUAGAUGGCCCCGUUUUCUUCUUGCAUACAUGCUUCCGUGUAAUAAUAACUGAAUAAUACUAGAUCUGCAUCUAUAUCUAUGCAAUGUACGGUGCAUAUGUGAGUGCUACCUUUAGGAAGUACUCCCUCCGUUCCGAUUUACUCGUUGUGGUUUUAGUUCAAAUUUAAACUAAAAUCACGACGAGUAAAACGGAAUGGAGGGAGUACAUGAACAUCAUACAAUCCGAACAAAGUUUCAGCGGGGAACCAGUUCAAGUUGAAUAAUCCAACACUCCGGAAUUCGAGCUCCUACUGUUUUCAGGGUUGAAACGAAUAUAAGCUUAAACUUGCAGGGUUAACUUCAGCAGAAUUGCUUCUAAUUCUGCAAAAAUAUUGAGGAUAAAAGAGAUUUAAGAAUCUAAUCUACCAAUUUACAUAUUUUAGACCGAUAUAUUUGUGUUGAGCUACAGGACAUAUCCCAGAUCCGCUGUUGAGCUUCACAUGCCUCAGUCACAGGUCAAAAUAUGCGAGGAUGGACGACAGAAACAAGGUGUCAAUUUUACAGCUCAGUUCAAUAAUUUGGGCUAAAUCUGUGGCUUCGUGGGAUUAAUAUCAAAAUAUGUACUCCCUCUGUUCUCUUUUGUAAGACGUUUUAGACAGCUGUCUAUCUAAAACGUCUUACAAAAGUAAACAGAGGGAGUAGUUUUCCUCGGAAGUUUUGCUACCAGAAUGUAUACAGUUUUCUGAACGAAUAAGGUUUCACCAUGUAGGGUCUGAAAUAAGAGAGACGUAGCCUAAACAUCCAAGCUGUAGCUUGCUGUAUGCAAGGCCUAACAUCCAGCAUUUUAUUUCUUCAUGCCCCAACCAGUAAACAACCCAUGGCAGUUCUAACCCUAUUAAAUUAAUUAACUAAAGCUUUCUGUCUAGCUUAUCCAAAAUCAUAUAGUCUGUCUAACUAUAUAUGAGAUCUCUGAUUUUCAGAACUGUCAUUCUAUAACGGAGGCUCACACGUAUUUUCAGCUUCGUUUGUGCACAGCAAAGGAAAACUUCUCAAAAAUAAAUUUAGACCAAAAAGAUAGCAGCAAAUUAAUCCAGAUAUGUAUUUAUCCAAAAACUUGCUAGUUUCAACUAACUUCCAGAAUAAUGGAAAUGAACAAUGUACUGGAACUAAAUUAGCCAAGCAAAUUAUUUCAAGCAAAUAACACAAAAAUAUAUACAUAUGCAUCUGGUUGUGAAGAAUCUAAGAAACAAAUAGGUAAAUCCACUAUGAAAUUUUAUUCAACAAUCCAUACCUAGCUACAGAUGGAAAGUUGGCGUGUAAAGCAUAGUUCUUCAUCAGUUAGUAAUGCUGUAACUGAUAACUCAUAGCAAAACUGUAAAACAUUGCAGGAAUGAACACUGGAUAUGACAAACCUUAGAACACUUCUUUCUUACUACAACUUUCUACAACAAGUGUCAGCACUUCCUCUUUACCUAUGCUGUUCCACAGAACAGCUCUGUUGGCAUUUUCAACAACAGCUAGAAGAGUAAGUAUCAGCAAGGCCUGGAACACUAUCAUCAUAGGGAUGCACAAAAUCGUGUGGAGUAUGCCAAUCGAAAUAAUAAGUAAUAUACAGUACUGUAUUAUGGAAGCUGUUGAUACACAUUACAGAGCAUGUUUGUAAUGCAGAAUUCCACAAGAGUAACAAUAAUAAGUUUAUUUCCUAAAGGAACAGGAAGAUUCUAACGUCCCAACUGAGACCUAAAAGACGCUGAUAGUUGUCUGAUCUUAGUACAAAACACAGACUGAACAAGCCAGGUUCAGAAACUUGUGUAUUAGCAUGACAUGAUGAAGAACCAAUUCAUGACUGUGCCAUGCUUUCUUCUCUACUGGAUGACGACCAAAACAUAUUCGAAUUCAGAAAAUAUUAGCAACUACAAAACUGCAAGUGACAUACUAUAGUGGACACCCAACAUCCAGUUAGAGUGUUAGUAAACAACACAGAAACAGGACUUGCCAGCUUGCUGUGCAGACUCCAGAGUGAAAACUUCAUUGUGAAAAAAAAAACAGUUAAAUACUAUUCAAGCCUGUUCUUGGUUCUUGCAAUCUGAAUCUAGUGGGCACUUCCCCUUUGAGAGUAGCAGCAUAGUCUUCAGCAAGGCGAGGCGCAGCUUCCUUGUGAGGACGUAUGAACUUGUCCACGAAUACCUUCUCACUCACCUGGGCUGCGGUGUAGAAGCUUCGGUUAGGCUUUAGCAAUCCAUUUUCUUUAAGGAACUUCACAACAUAGUACCGAGGUUUGAGCCGGGCCUCUAAGCUAUAAGUGAGCAUUGCCGGCCUGUGAGCAAUGUACUCCGGCUCUAACCCAACCUCGGACAUCAAGAAUUCCGACAUGCGCAACAGCCUCUCCUGGGAGUUCCUCAGCACCACAGGAAGCUUGGCAACAGCAAUGGCCACCUCAGCUUCCGACCACCUGAAAGUCUUCUUCAGGAACUCCACCUUAGCAGCAAUCUUCUCCUCGCUGAGGAAUGCGACAGCCAACAGCGCGUGCCUGAACAUCGCAGAGCCACGGGGCACACCGACAUCUUCGGCACGCGCCACCAUGGCCUGGAUGCGCUCUGGCUUGCUGGUGAGCAACCUCGGCACAGGGAUGCAUAGCUUGGCAAUAUCACAGUCACCUAGCCCGCACUCCCGGAGGAGCGCGACGUUGGGCUUGACAACGUUCUCCAGGUCGGAGCUGAGGAGGUAGGAGUUGUACUUGAGCGCCUGGAGGAGGUUCUCGAAGGAGCCGAAGAGGGGGACGUAGUACUGCAGCUUGGAGAUGAUGGUGGGGCGGCGGAAGCGGGCGGGGUCGACCAGGACGAGGCGGGCGAUCUGGGACGGGGAGAGCCCGAGGUCCCGGAGCUCGGUGAGGCGCGGGACGAGGGUCUUGUCGACCUCGGAGCAGAGGAGGAGAGGGUCGUACACGACGACGGCGGCGACGUCGGCGUCGGAGAGGCCGAGGUCGGAGAGGAAGGCGAGGACGGCCUCGGGCUUGGAGGGGGACUUGAGGCGGGAGAGGACCUUGGAGGCCUUGACGGCCUGCGCCGGGGUGAGGUGGCAAGACGCGACGAGGUAGUCCGCCACGGCGAACGGGGCAGGGCUAGCCGACGCCGCCACGGCGGCGGCGGUGGCGGCGAAUCGGGUGUUGGAGAAGAGGCAUCGGUGGCGGAACGCGAGUAGGGCACUUGUGGCGCGGGCACGGAGAGAGAGGAGGAGGACGUGUUUCUGGAGGAGAAGCAUGGCUGGCGGCGGCGGCCGAGGCGACAGCGGGGGGAGGGCGCGGCGGCGGCGAGAGUCGGACAGGGAGAGCGAAGAGAUAGCGGCUAUCGUCACGCCAAAUGUUAUCUUUCCAAUUUUUAUGAGCAACGGUAAUUCCGCGAGCGCCAGUUUUCUGGCGGUUGUAGGCGAGGAAAAGAUACAAAUCAAACGUCAAAUUUUCUUACGUGACAAAUCGAACGGUGUAAAUUAUAUUGUCAUGAGGAUGUCAAUUUUUGCGGUGAAAAGUUAUUGCAUAGAAUUGUCUUGUUUGCUAAAUGAAUGGGACACACUCCCACCAAGCAGUUUGAUCAGAAAUGAAGCACCAGACCUAUCGAAAGCCGUCGAUCCUAGCAGAAUCUCAAGGUCACAUAAUCUAAUCAUGUCACCUCUUUUCAACAAAAAAAAAAAGAAUAAGGAAGCAAAUUGUUCAGAAACUACUAAUUUUUCCUUCUAAUCACUUCCCUGUCGCCUCUUUCCUUGCGGCGUUCCCCAAACCAAGCUCACCAUCCACCCACACCACUCCCCAUCUUCGGAUUGGACUCCAGCCAACAAAGCAGUUCCUCCCCAUGCCUCCCCACCACACUACCCAGUUCCGCGACGACGCUCCUCCCUGAUCCAUCGUCCUUUUGCUCCGAUGCGGAGCGGAUCUGGUAGAUGUCAAUCGUUCGGACUUGGUAAAGGUUGUCGCAACACCUGUAGUAGGACAGAGGACUUAUCGCGAUGCCCGCGGAUCAAUUUGAUAUGUCUCUAUCGCUGACGUCGGUCAAAGAUGCCACGUGGAUUGGCAUGGGUCUUCCUCGGCUAAUGAGACCUCGACCCCGAAGUCUUCAGAGUAUCUUUUUGAUAGGCACACUUUCUCUUUUUUUCGAUUUUCUCUGACUUGACUCGGCUUGACCUACUCGACUCAACGGUUAGAGUAUCGCUUUCGUACAACGAGAGUCAUUGGUUCAAAUCCAAUCGUAGGUAAAAUCAGCCGAAACCCCCGCUUUUGCCAGCAUGAUAGCAAGCACAGACUGGCAUCAAGGAGUAGAAUGACCAAAGCAUCAGUUGCUUCCACUUGUUUGUUGCCUUCUGGGGCCGACAGACAAGGUACCCCCUGUAUUCGUGCCAAGGUAUUGAGGGGGAUAGAGAGGGUUAUUUUUGUGAUUGGGUCUUUUAGUUGCUUUGCUACUAGAGGUCUAGGUGGUCAGGGGUUUAAAGGCCUAGAAUAGGUGUGAGUGGUAGAUAGGCCGCCUUCACGAUCUUCUACCUUCUAUCUUUAUCCAAAGUCAGGUAGGGUGGAUCGCUUGAGUUGCUUAACCGCCCCUUUACCCGGUGCUCAUGAUGCGCUACGGAACCUCCGCCAUUCUAGCGGUCAAGUUAUAUAAGAUUUGGUUGGAAUUUGAAGAUGGAGAUAUUACCGACCAUGACGUAGAGGUCGAAUUUGAUGAGAGCAUAGGAGGUCCAGCAGACGCCGUUGAGGAAACUCACCAGUGACAGACUUACACCCUACCUGCCUACUCGGAUUACUGAAGGAGCCUAUUUGAAAUUCAAUACCGGCCUUUUUCAAGGAUACGAAUCGAAAGGCGGGGCGACACUACAUGUGCUCCAUUGCGGCCUUAGGGGGCGCAACCCCCCAUCUCCAUCUCGGUUGGUGUCAGGACCCCGACUCAAUGCCACAUCGAUCUAGCAUGUAACACCUCAUAUCACUUUGUGGCCUCACGCACGGUAUUCCCACGGGUGUCGCCUUACCUUAGCCCGGGACCGUUUGCGCCUUUUGGCACACGUAUAUGACAGUGUCGCUAGCAUCCAUAUGAUAAGGAGCCCGGGGCUGACAUGGCUAGUCGUAAACCCAAAGUGGCACAGACUUACAGGGACAGGCAUCCAUGACCCAGCAUCGAACGUGUCGGUCAUCAGCGAGUGAAUCCAGGCUGUAGCACUGGGCUAGCAGGACUCCGGUGAACCGGGCUGUAGCGGGCUAACAGGACUCCGGUAUUCAUCGCGUGACAUUUCCCCGAAGGGACAGACACAGGAACGAAGAAGGACACAUGCCGGCCAGCCUAAGUGUUCCGGAGUAGUAGCAAGCUACCAUGGCUCGGUGGAAACACUAGGAGACAUUUCCCGAUAAGAGAGGCUACUAAAGAUAAACAACUAGAUAGUCAGAUCCCACACAUACCAAGCAUUUCAAUAACAUACACACAAUAUGCUCGAUAUGUGCAAACACAACAUGGCAUCACAACAUGACUCUACGACUCAGGUAAUUUAUUCAAUAGGCUCCGAGGAGCGAGAUAUUACAAACAUGGGUCUCAUGACCCAACAAUCAGAGCAUACAAGUCAAAGCACAAGCGGAAGCUAUCAUGUCUGGGUACAGACAUCUAUAACUGAAAAAGGCUGAGAAGUCUGACUAUCUACUAGAUCCUGCCGAGGGCACAAGAUCGUAGCUGAGGUAACAAGCUAAACGUCGAAGUCCACGCGGUACUACUAGCGAGACCGAAAUCUCUCUGCAAAACAUAAAAUAGGCAAACGUGAGUACAAAUGUACCCAGCAAGACUUACAUCAGAACUAACUACAUAUGCAUCAUUAUCAACAAAGAGGAUGGUGGGGUUUAACUGCAGCAAGCCAGCUUUGACUCGGUGGCUAUCCUAAACUACGACUGCAAGCGACUCUUUUGAGGUGGCGCACACGAGUCCACAUAUUCACCAUAUCAAUACACCACUAUGGAUCCGCUCCCGUCUCCCUACGAGAACGCCAUCCAUAGCACUCACGCUUAUCUUGCGCAUUUUAAAGUAUCCACUUUCACUUGUCUAUGAACUGAUAUAAGCAACCCAGAAGUCCUUUUCCGUGGACACGGCUAUUCGAAUAGAUGAUGUUAACCCUGCAGGGGUGUACUUCUUCAUACAUGUUUCCACCACUUAGCGUCUGCACACGACAUGUGCUCGGCAGACUUCAAGCGAAAGCCGACGUGGGUGUAGACCACGACCUACCUAAACACUCAAGUCUCUAGUCCAGGUUUAUCGCCUAUUCGGGUUCCAUCCAUGAGGAGAUCCGGCCGGAGUUUCGCUCACAGCCCCAAACGAUGUGAACAGGGUUCCCGAGAUACCAAACGGGCAUCCGGUACACCCGGCCACGUGCCUACCGCAUCACAGCCCACCCCUACGGUCAGCGCUGUCCACGGCCUCCAGCAUACUACAAACACCAGAAACUACUUGCAACUCCUGGACAGAGGACUAGGGUGAAUAAGAAGUCGAGCGGGGUCAUAUUUCAGGGCCCAAUGCAUGGUAGUAGCUGAAUCAUGGAUCACAAACACAGAACUCAGUUCCUAAGGACGGCUUCAAUGAGACAACCCACCAUGUACUCCUACAUGGCCUCUCACCGACACCUUUUACCAAAUCGUGUUCACACACUUAGCUCACACAUAGUAGGACAUGUUCACACACCUCUGAUUCAUCCUCGAUGAAUCAGACCUGACUCAACUCUAAGCAGUAGCAGGCAUGACAAACAAGCAUGAAUGAGUAGGCACAUCAGGGCUCAAACAACUCCUACUCAUGCUAGUGGGUUUCAUCUAUUUACUAUGGCAAUGACAGGUCAUGCAAAGGAUAAAGGGGGUUCAGCUACCGCAGCAAGUAACAGAUGAAUCGGUGUUGUCCUAAUGCAGUAAAAGAGAGCAGGAGCGAGAGAGUAGGAUUGUAUCAGAAUGAACAAGGGGGUUUUGCUUGCCUGGCACUUCUGAAGAUAGCAUUGAGUCUUCAUCAGUGUCAACGAUCACAUCAUCGGUAUCACGUCUAUCGAGAGGGGACAAUUACCGGCAACAUAGAAGGGAACACAAUCAAUGCAAUGCAAGUUAUGAUGCAUGAUCAUGACAUGGCAAAAUGAAUGUGUUUUGAGCUAAUGCAACUAGCAACAGAUUAAAUGAAGUUGGUUUGAAUACAAGAUUCAAAUUUAAACUCCAUAUGUGAUUAUUCAAAUGCCAUUUAAUUGAUUUGUGCUAAACAGCAGCUAUAAGUUGUUCUAUCAUGCAUGAAAAUGGUACAGAUGGAUUCCUUGAAUUUUUCUGAUAAUUUUUCAUAUAUAAAUUAUUUAAUUUGGAGUUACGGUUGAAUUUCUAUGAUUUUUAGAAGUUUUAGCUAUUUUCUGGAAUUUCCUGAAUAUAAUAAAAUAAACUAAAUUCCAGAAAAUGAAUAUUGCGUCAGCAUGACCUCACCCUGACGUCAUCAGGUCAACAGGGCGGGUCCAGGUCAAACCUGACGUGUGGGGACCACACGUCAGUGACACAGUUAACUAACCUAAGUUUAAUUAGAGCCUGGGCCCGCAUGUGAGUGUCCUAUCUACUUAACUAAGUUAGUUAACACUAACUUAACCUGGUACUAAUUAAACAGGGGGGCUGGGCCCACACGUCAGUCAGAGAGAGGGGAGGGUCAAACCGGGCAGUGGGUCAACCCACGCCGGUCAAGGGUCAACGGUCGCCGGCGUUUAGCCGCCGGCGAGUCCCGACGCGGUGGUGCGCUGCGGAAAUGGCCUACAGAGCGCCGUUUGGCGCGCGGAGCACGACUACGGGAUGCGGACGCUCGUCUGCAUCUAACCAGGGUGGUGGCGCGGCCGGGGAGUGGCCGGAGAGUGGUCGGCGACGAGCUUUAGCGGCGGCCGGAGUUUGGUGUCAGUGAGGACGACGCUGCGGUGCACGGGGGAAGGAGCAGGUGUGUGCGUUCGGCUCCUGAGAGCACGGUUAGCAGGCGGGUGCUACUAGGGCGAGCGGAGGAGCUCGGGAGCACGGGGCUCACUGGCCAUGGCGAUGGGCGGAGCUCGGUUUCGUGGGGCGGCGGCUAACGGACGAGAACGGAGGGGGUGAGCAAGGGGGAAGGCGCAGGAGCUCACAGCGAGUUCGAGGGGGCAGUCAGCAGGCUCGGGGACGUCCGGGGUGCGGCAAAUCGACGACGGCGAUCAUCGGACAGGGACGAGGAAGAUGGCGACGAUGGCGGCUCCAUAGGGCCUCUGCGUUGGCUUUCCUCAAUGGAGAGGCGUGGUGCAAGGUGGCGGAGGUGCUGGACUGAUCGGGGAGGCAAGGCAUCGGCGGUGGGCACGGCGAACGGCGUCGGUGGCGACGGGGCUCCGCUCGGUGGAGGAGAGAGGGAGCCAGAGAAAGGGGGGAGAAGGCACGGGGAGAGUGCGAGGCCUGGGAGGGUGCGUGGCGUCGCGGACGAGGUCCAGGGCGACGAGAGGAAGCAGGAGGUGGCCAGGGGGAAGCAGGAGGUGGCCGAGGCCUCUCGGGCGCGCGCCACGCCUCGCCUCUGUUCGUCCUCCUGGCAGAGGAGGAAGAUGACAAGGGGGAGGAGGUGGGCUGGGCCGGCUGGGCCGGUUGGUGGGCGCCAGGUGGGCUGCAGGUGAGUUAGGUAGGCUUCUGCUCUUUUUAUUUUUUUUCUUCUGUUUUGUUUUAUUUAACUUAUUUUGCCACUGUUUUGAAUUUAAAAUAAUUCAAACAAUGCCAAAAACUCCUCUGAAUAUUUUAUAUUGCUAGAUGGACUUUUCCAAAAGCUUAUAAAAUAUUUCCGGGGGUAUUUGAAAUUAUAUUCUAAUUAUAUGAAUAUAAUUCAAAUUCAAAUAGCUAAUGAAUUAAAUCCAAAGUCCCAAAAAUAAUUCCUUAAAAAUGUUCAAUAUUUUGGUUGGGACCAGAACCCUUACCAAAAAUUAUCAAACAUUUAAAAGGGCAUUUUUGGAGCAAUGAAUGAGAUUUUUAGGGUUUUUGCCCCUCUUUUAUUUAAGUUUUUGAGGCUUCCAAAAUUCCUCAGUUCAAGUUUCGAAAAUAUAGACAUGAUGCACACAUGAAGCUAGCCUAGAGCACUACCAGCAGCUAGGGAUGUGACAGUUGGGCCCUGGGUUGCCAUCUAUCUUCCCAUCCCCCGACGGAAGACCAGGAUUUGUCCAUUGUUUUCCUCCCUCUUCAAAGUGCCUCUCAUCAGAAUCAAAGGGUAUUGUACUUUGACAAUCCACCCAACCCCUUCCCCAAGCGUGUGAUUAGCAUAUGUGCCUACUUAUGAUCACAGCCAUACUCGAUGUUUUGUAAUGUCAAUUUUUGCAUUUAGGCUUGUAAUGCCUACUCUGCCUAGUACUAAUUGGUUCAUGUGUUCAUUGUGUGCAUGUUAGUGUUCUGCUCUUCAUGUACUAUGUCAGACAAGAAUUAGAAAAUAAUAAUUUUUGGGAUAGCAAACAUUAUGGUGCUUCCUACUCCAUAGAUAUGCAUCCCCAUUUGACGGCAAUAUUUGUAUUCAUUUCAUUUUCUUCCGAGCUUCCAGGUAAGACUAAUGAUGCACCAAGUUCCCAUUUUCAUGCUUAUGAUUAGCUUGCAUUCACAGUAUGCUUCCAAGUAACAGUACUGAUGUACCCAGCACACUGUCUCAUGCCUCGUAUUAAUCGCGCUUCCAUAUUAUAUUCCUUUUGUUUCAUUUUGCUUCUUAUUACUGUGCGUCCAGAUUCUGCUUCCAAGUAUUAGUACAUAUGUACCCAGUACACUUUUUAUGCUUCUUUCGCAUCAUACUUCCACAUUAAAUUCCUUUUGUUUCAUACAACUAAAAGUUUACUUUCACUCAAAACACUUUAUUAAGGUUUGCUAACAAAGUAAAUUUCUUAUGUUCUUAGUUGACUCACUAAAAGUUUACUUUCACUCAAAACACUUUAUUAAGGUUUGCUAACAAAGUAAAUUUCUUAUGUUCUCAGUUGACUCACUAAAAGUUUACUUUCACUCAAAACAUUUUAUUAAGGUUUGCUAACAAAGUAAAUUUCUUAUGUUCUCAGUUGACCCGCGACAAUGAAAGAGGAUGAACCCCAAUGGAUGCUCAAGAGCAUAUAUGCGGCUGGAAGGUUACAUGAUCUCCAUCAGGAAAAACAUGAUACUCGAUCUCGCGGGUUAGGUGUGCCAUUUUUGUUGCGUCGGGAGAGAAGCAUCCGACCAGGAAGCACUGUUUGGAAGGGUGUGUAGAGAGAGAAGAGAUUGUACCUCACGAGAUCAAAUUCUUAUAUGGAAAGCAUUUAAUCAUGGUGCCAUAGAAGGGCUCAUUUAAGAUUAAGAAGCAGAUCUGACGUCCAUUUGGUUUCCAAUCGAACGGCCAAACACUGGUAUGAUAGGAUGCAAAGCAUCAGCGCUAGUGGUUCCCAAAUAGAAUUGAGAUAAGGAUCAAAGCAAAGCAUUAGCCGUCCGAUGGCUAGUGGUUCCCAAAUAGAAUUGAGAUAGGGAUCAAGAGAUUGCAACAGACGUUUCCUAGCGAAAAUGUUGUAUAGGACCAUGGUUCACCCGAAUCUAACGCUCAGUGCCACACAUCAGAAGACAGCAUUUUUCGAGAUUUAUGCAUGGCAGGUGUGCUAAACCAUGGCGGGAACGAUCAACAGACAUGCUGAGAAGGAUUCCGCGUUAAUAAACCUACCGGCCGCUACCAUCAACUGAAUAAAAUAGUGGACUGGCCUCGGAAGAAACAAACGUUGUCUCCCAUAUACUCUCCUGUUCACAAUUGUUUAAGCCUGGCCAUACCUCGGGCCGACCCGGUCUUUGGGCCGGGCCUAGCCAAGCCCGACGCAAAAAACCCAGGCCUGAGCCCGGCCCGGCCUGGCCAUCGGGCCUGUUUUCUUGGCCCGAGCACAACCCGAACACGUAAAAGCCUGCCAGGCUCCGGGCCGGUCCGGCCCGACCUUCAGAAAGUGCAAAAACGACGGGCUCGGGCCCGGCCCGGCCAUCGGGCCCAAAAUCUAGGCCCGAGCCCGGUCCGGGAGAUCGUCGGGCCGGGCCGGGCUUCCCAUGGCCAUGUAUAUAUGCUGGUCAGCUGUGUCAUGCAUGCCUGAUCAAAACGAGGGAUUCAUACAUGCGCCUUGGGAGAAGGAACAGCAUAAUAAAAAUAUAGAGAAGAACGAAAGCUCGCACAAGGAUUCAAUCUUUGGGGCUGUUUGGUUCUAGGCCUAGUAUUGCCACACUUUCUCAUACAUUUUUGUCAAUCUUGCCUAAGCUUAGUUUAUCAAAAUGAGAGCCAUAAGUUGGCAAGCCUAAAAGCAUCUCCAAUAGUUUGUAUGUUAUUCUUGUUGGUAAAAUGUUCAUGUCAUCAAUCAUAAGUUAUCAUACAACUACUUCAAUGGAUUGUAUUUAAAUUAUCCAAUAGAAUGUGAGGAAAUAAAUGUGGUUGCUCUUUAUUUUACCUUAGAGUUUAUGCAAAAGUUGUUGGUUAAUCUACAUACAACUUUGAUCUCUUUACGCAUUUAUUUCAUGUCACAUCAUCACUAUGUUUUAGGUGGCAAAUUUAGCAACACCUAUCUUACAACUGUUGGAGAUGCCCUAAGAGAAUCUUGCCACACUUUGUGUGUGUAUACCAUGUGGGGCUCAAAUGUGGCCUGCCUAAGGUAUGGCUUGAACCAAACACUUACCUAAGUCAGUCAAACUUGCCUAUGGCAACCUUUAACAAAGUUAGUCACAAACCAAACAGUCCCUUUGUACCAUCCAUGGUCCAUUGUAAAUAAUUUUGUACAGAUAUAUUGAAGACUAAUAACUCUAACUACAAGAAACUGAAAAAAAUAUCAUUUUCUGUACAUGAUUCAGAACAAAAAAUAUAAAAUGUUUUUAGAACUAUUCGAAAACUAAUCAUUUAAUAAAGAAAAAUCAUAGCAGAUCGUGGCUCGUGAACUCAAGUAAAGAUUCCGUGAUGUACUACCGUGGGGUGUUUCGUCAAAAAGAAACUCCACACAUCUCUAACUAGUAAUUCGGACUGUAAGAAACUCAAAAGAUAUUAGCUUUAAUACAGGGUACAGAAAAAAGCAUGUACUUCCUUCAUUCCUAAAUAUUUGUCUUUCUAGAUAUUUUAAAUGGCUACCACAUACGGAUGUAUAUAGACAUAUUUUAGAGUGUAGAUUCACUCAUUUUGCUCUGUAUGUAGUCACUUGUUGAAAUCUCCAGAAAGACAAAUAUUUAGGAACGGAGGGAGUAGUUUAUUUUUGAUAGAAAUAUUUAAAACUUUUCCCUUUUUACUUUAGCCCAAGAAGAACAAUGGCGUUUAAUACAGGAUACAUAACAAAGCAUGUAGUUUAUUUUUUAUAGAAAUAUUUAAAACUUUUUAUUUUUUGCUUUAGCCCAAUUUUCUCUUUCAAGACCUUUAACAAAUGCCAUUUGCACCACCUAUGACGGGUAUGAGGUAUAUUGUACUCCCUCCGUUUCAAAACAUAAGUCUUUCUAGAGAUCACAAUAAGUGACUACAUACGAAGCAAAAUGAGUGAAUCUACACUCUAAAAUAUGUCUACAUACAUCCGUAUGUUGUAGUUCAUUUGAAAUAUCUAAAAAAACUUAUAUUUAAAAACAGAGGGAGUAGUUAGUAAAGCGUUUUGCAUAGCUUUGCGUUGGUCUGUGGGUGUACAAAAGAAAAGUGAUCAAACUAAGGCGAACAUAUGAUAGCAUAUAUAGAACCUGGUAAGCUACAACUAUGUAAUCUCUCCGUCUCAUAAUAUAAGAAUGGUUUUUACAUUAGUGUAAUGUCAAAAACGUUCUUAUAUUAUGAGACAGAGGGAGUACAAGACAACUUUUAUAGUCUAACCUAUCAAUAUAGUAGUAGGAUGCUUCCCGUCCAUCAAGUCAAUAAAAUGAACAGUGCUACAAUGGGCUCCUCAUCCUGUAAUAUGUAGUAGUAGUAAGUAGUUUGGAAGAUGAACAGUGCUACAAUGGAUGAACAGACGAUAGGUUUUCUUAUUUAUUGGGCAUUGGCUCAAGCGCUAAGACUCCACACAUCUCUGACUAUACUCUCUCCGUUCCAAAUUACUUAUCGUGGUUUUAGUUAAUUUAGAACUAAAACCACGACAAGUAAUUUGAAACGGAGGGAGUAAUUCUUGAACAGUAUAAAGAAAAAAAUAGCCCCGCAGGCCUAGGGGUGUACGGUGUGCCAGCCCACCAGUAUAACUAAGGAGAUUAACGCAGGCCUCGGGCUGUUCAAGCCUUAACCGUUUUUUUAAUUCAAAUAGUACACAGAUCCACACGCAGCAGGCUGGACAAUCGUACACAGAUCCCCGUUUCUUAGGCAUUCCUUUACAUUCAGUUGUCCAAAGAACCCAGCUCAGGGCCUCUUUGAUUCGCAGGAUUUAAAAAAUGCAGGAAUAGAAAAAGUACAUGGUUGGAGUGGCAUGUCCAUUUGAACUUUAUAAGAUUAGCAAGAGUGUUUGAUCUCACAAGAAAAACAAAAGAAUCAUAAAAAAAGGGUGGAAUACUACAAAAGAUUUCAUAGGAAAAUAAUCCUAUAAAUCAAAUGAUCAAUAUAGAAAAAAUUCCUAAGGAUUUAAACCCUAUGAAAUUCUUUUGAACAAAAGGAGCCCUCAAUAUUUUCGACAAUCCACUAAAAUGAGGCAUCACAAAUUUUCCUUUGAAUCAAAGGAGCCCUCAAUAUUUUUGUCAAUUCACUAAAAUGGGGCAUCACAACUUUUUGGCUUUGCAAUCACGGUAGCACCAAAGGGGUAGUGGCACCAUCCAUGUGUUGAAAAUAUGAGCAAAUUACUAUGAGAUUUAAUCCGAAUAAACAGAAGAUAAAUCAUGACCACAUCAGCAUAGAUUAAACUAAUCAUGCGAACUAGCAUAGCAGAUGAACAUAUCACAUCUAGGGCACAUACUAGAAGCAUGAAUUCUACCACGAUCUCGAACAGGAAGGAUAGAAUCAUAUACGGUGCAGCGGGUGCAGCACCGCCGGCAUUGACGUUGUCGCCCAUGUCGUCGAGGACGAGGUUGCCGAGGUCGGGGAAGAAGUCGUCGUUCGCGAAGUCGUCGCUGCCAGCAGUCGCGCGAGUGCGCUCCCCAAAAACCUGAUUGCCCCUCUCCCGUACAGGAUCACGAGAGGUGGGGUUCCGGAGGCCUGCUGUCCCUUCUCGCGGUGCACGCCGGAAGGAGGGAUGGAGAAGACUUGCUUGGCGGCGCAAUGAUCUGGAACGGUGGUGAGAAACCAUACGAAGCGGCGGCGGCUAGGAUAGACGUCUGCCUGACUAUAUAGUGCGGACCGGGUAGGUCAUGGGAGUAAACCCCACGUCCGAGUCGUCACGAUCCAAAAGAAUCGGAAACGGUUCAGUAAUUAACGCGUCCGUUAAUUAUUAAUUAAUGACUCAUUAAUUUUCCCAUGCAGCAAAAAUAUAGACAACGUGCAUAGCUCUGUCCUCGGCUCGGCUCAAUCCCGCAACCCACGGCGCGUCUUGACGAGGCAUGGCGUGGCGCGGCGUGGCGUGGCGAGGCGAGGCGAGCGAGGAGGAGGAGCGCGCGUGUAGGUCUCCUCUUUUCAUGCUCAUACAAGUGGUAGAAGAGCUCACCUUAUAAAGAGGCGCAACUCUCUCUCAACUUCCGGGGUGGGACUAAACUUUAGCCUCACUCACUCCACUCACAUGUGUGCAUGAAUGGGCCAAGAGAAUUUCAGAAUUUUAGUUGGGCUUUGGGCCAAAGGCCUACUAGCAAAAUUCCAACAAUCCCCCACAAAGUCUCAUUGGCACAUCUCAUCAUUUAGUUCCAAAACAUUGUUUUAUAUAUCGGUGCUUAGUGGAGACUGUGAAGUUGAACUUCCACUUAGAAAUUUAUGCUACACUAGAUCACAACUUGAAUAGUGGACUAUGCCUUGAACUACAAGUUUUCUAUGAAACUAGUUUCACGCAAAUUAUUGACCGAUACUGGGCUGCCGCAAGGCUUCCCCGCGGGUGAAGCGUAUACGUCAUACUCCAGAGCCUUUCAUGAAUUUAUUAGAGAACACCCAAUUCUCACAGACUGCGACAUUAACAGUCAAAUUCAUAUAGGUGUGUUCCUCAGAAGAUGUUCUGCAGGACAACAUCUCUGCUUACCCGAAUAAGCCACUUGGAACACAUUAAGAUAAGUAUCAACCUGCCAUGCAGAUCAGGAGAGUAUUGCAUCUUCACGGAGUGGGAUAAUUAAUAUAGGGAUACUCUCCUCCCAGCUGACCAAUAGCUUGUCUCCCACUUCUACUUCACGGGAUCUCCGCUCACAUAGAGUGGGUUACCACUAUGGACAACUCAUGCGGUGGGUCUCAAACCCAUCUCCAUCGAUGUAUUAUCUAUCACAUUACGUGAUAGACCCUUUGUGAAGGGAUCUGCCAAGUUUUUCGACGUUUGGAUAUAAUCCAACGUAAUAACUCCGGAGUUCCUCAAUUUUCUGACAGAUUUUAGUCUCCUCUUCACAUGCCUUGAGGACUUCAUAUUGUCCUUAGAACUGUUUAUCUUGACGAUCACAGUUUGAUUAUCGCAGUUCAUCAGGAUAGGGGGUAUUGGUUUUUCAACCUUAGGUAAGUCCAUCAAGAGUUCACGAAGCCACUCUGCUUCAACAGUGGCAGUGUCUAAUGUUGUGAGUUCUGCUUCCAUAGUUGACCUCGUUAAGAUGGUCUGCUUGCAAGACCUCCAGGAAACAGCGCCACCACCAAGUGUAAAAAUAUAACCACUUGUGGCCUUAAUCUCAUCAGCAUCAGAUAUCCAGUUUGAGUCACUAUAACCCUCCAGUACCCUUGGAUACCCGGUGUAGUGAAUCUCUCUCAAACGCAUGCCAAUGAUCAUCUCCCGGUUUUGACACAAACCGACUCAGCUUGCUCACAACAAAAGAGAUGUCAGGCCUCGUGGCACUCACCAAAUACAUAAGCGAGCCAAUAAUCUGAGAAUACCUCAGUUGAUCUCUAGCAAUCCGUCGAUUCUUUCGAAGCAACACACUAGCAUCAUAUGGAGUUGGAGAAGGCGUGCAGUCGCUAUACCCAAAACGACUCAAGACCUUUUCCACAUAAUGAGACUGAAGCAGUGUGAUCCCACCAUUCUCAUCUCUCAACAGCUUGAUGUUUAAGAUAACAUCAGCUACUCCUAGAUCCUUCAUCUCAAAACAGCGAGAUAAGAAAUCCUUAACCUCCUUGAUUAAAUCAAGUUUGGUUCCAAACAUCAAUAUGUCGUCGACAUACAGACAAAGAAUAACUCCUUCGCCCCCACCAUAGCGAUAGUACAUGCACUUGUCACCAUCGUUUACUACAAAGCCGGCAACAGUUAAUGUUCUUUCGAACUUCUCAUGCCACUCCUUAGGAGCUUGUUUAAGGCCAUAUAAAGACUUUAAUAACUUGCACACCUUUCCUUCCUGACCAGGUACUACAAAACCAUCUGGCUGAUCCAUGUAAAUUUCCUCCUUCAACUCUCCAUUGAGGAAAGCCGUCUUAACGUCCAUUUGAUGAAUGAGAAGACCAUGUGAGACAGCCAGUGAUAGUAGCACCCGAAUUGUGGUCAGUCUAGCCAUGGGUGAGUAAGUAUCAAAGAAGUCUUCACCUUCUUUCUGGGUAUAACCCUUGGCCACAAGCUGUGCCUUGUACUUUUCAAUUGUACCAUCAGGUCUAAGCUUCUUCUUGAACACCCACUUACAUCCUACAGGUUUGCACCCAUAAGGACGGUCAGUGAUCUCCCAGGUACCGUUAGCUAAGAUGGAAUCCAUCUCGCUACGUACAGCUUCCUUCCAGUAGUCAGCAUCAGGAGAUGCAUAGGCUUCUGAAAUAGUCCUGGGUGUGUCAUCCACGAGGUACACAAUGAAAUCAUCACCAAAAGACUUUGCAGUCCUCUGUCUCUUACUCCUCACAGGAGUUCCAUUGUUACCCUCAACAGGAUUCUCAACGUGUUCCAUCACAAUGGUGGGUUCAGGAAUUACAGUGAAUUCCUCACUAGAUGGAGUAGGUAUCUCCUGAUUUGAUGAACUCGACAUAUCCUUCAUAGGAAAUAUGUCCUCAAAGAUAGUUGCAUCAUUUGAUUCCAUAAUCGUACCAACAUGCAUGUCGGAUACCUCAGAUUUUAUUAUCAAAAAUCUAUAGCCGAUGCUAUGAAAAGCAUAGCCCUGAAGAACACAAUCCACGGUUUUUGGUCCAAGCUUGCGCUUCUUGGGAAUUGGUAUAUUGACUUUCGCCAAACAACCCCAAGUACGUAGGUAAGAGAGUUUCAACCUUUUCCUUUCCCAUUCCUCAAAAGGAGUCAUGGUCUUAUGCUUUGUGGGAACUCGGUUUAGGACAUGACACGCAGUCAUUAGCGCCUCCCCCACCAUUCAUUGGAUAGACCCGAAGUGUCUAACAUGGUGUUAACCAUAUCAGUUAGAGUUCGGUUCUUUCUUUCGGCUACCCCAUUUGACUGGGGUGAGUAGGGAGGCGUCCUCUCAUGGAUUAUACCAUGUUCCGCACAAAACAGAUCAAAUUCAUUGGAAAAAUACUCUCCACCACGAUCGGACCUAAGCCGUUUAAUUUUUCGAUCAAGUUGGUUCUCUGCCUCAGCUUUAUAGUUUUUAAAGAAAGUCAAAGCCUCAUCUUUUGAUUUCAGAAGAUACACAUAACAAUAUCUAGUGGAGUCAUCAAUCAACGUCAUGAAGUAUCUGAAGGAAAUAUGCCCUAGAGGCAAUAAUAAAGUUAUUAUUUAUUUCCUUAUAUCAUGAUAAAUGUUUAUUAUUCAUGCUAGAAUUGUAUUAACCGGAAACAUAAUACAUGUGUGAAUACAUAGACAAACAGAGUGUCACUAGUAUGCCUCUACUUGACUAGCUCGUUAAUCAAAGAUGGUUAUGUUUCCUAACCAUGAACAAAGAGUUGUUAUUUGAUUAACGGGAUCACAUCAUUAGGUGAAUGAUCUUAUUGACAUGACCCAUUCCAUUAGCUUAGCACCCGAUCGUUUAGUAUGUUGCUAUUGCUUUCUUCAUGACUUAUACAUGUUCAUAUGACUAUGAGAUUAUGCAACUCCCGUUUACCGGAGGAACACUUUGUGUGCUACCAAACGUCACAACGUAACUGGGUGAUUAUAAAGGUGCUCUACAGGUGUCUCCAAAGGUACAUGUUGGGUUGGCGUAUUUCGAGACUAGGAUUUGUCACUCCGAUUGUCGGAGAGGUAUCUUUGGGCCCUCUCGGUAAUGCACAUCACAUAAGCCUUGCAAGCAUUGCAACUAAUGAGUUAGUUGUGAUAUGAUGUAUUACGGAACGAGUAAAGAGACUUGCCGGUAACGAGAUUGAACUAGGUAUUGAGAUACCCACGAUCGAAUCUCGGGCAAGUAACAUACCGAUGACAAAGGGAACAACAUAUGUUGUUAUGCGGUCUGACCGAUAAAAGAUCUUCGUAGAAUAUGUAGGAGCCAAUAUGAGCAUCCAGGUUCCGCUAUUGGUUAUUGACCAGAGACGUGUCUCGGUCAUGUCUACAUUGUUCUCGAACCCGUAGGGUCCGCACGCUUAAGGUUUCGAUGACAGUUAUAUUAUGAGUUUAUGCAUUUUGAUGUACCGAAGUUUGUUCGGAGUCCCGGAUGUGAUCACGGACAUGACGAGGAGUCUCGAAAUGGUCGAGACAUAAAGAUUGAUAUAUUGGAAGCCUAUAUUUGGAUAUCGGAAGUGUUCCGGGUGAAAUCGGGAUUUUACCGGAGUACCGGGAGGUUACCGGAACCCCCCGGGAGGUAUAUGGGCCUUAGUGGGCUUUAGUGGAAGAGAGGAGAGGUGGCCAGGGCUGGGCCGCGCGCCCCUCCCCCCUAGUCCGAAUAGGACAAGGAGAGGGGGGCGGCGGCCCCCCUUCCUUCUCUCUCUCUCCUCUUUCCCCCUCUCGAAUCCUAUUCCAACUAGGAAAGGGGGGGAAUCCUACUCCCGGUGGGAGUAGGACUCCUCCUGGCGCGCCCUCCUCCUGGCCGGCCGCACCCCCCCUUUGAUCCUUUAUAUACGGAGGCAGGGGGCACCCCUAGACACACAAGUUGAUACACGUGAUCAUAUUCUUAGCCGUGUGCGGUGCCCCCUUCCACCAUAGUCCUCGAUAAUAUUGUAGCGGUGCUUAGGCGAAGCCCUGCGACGGUAGUACAUCAAGAUCGUCACCACGCCGUCGUGCUGGCGGAACUCUUCCCCGACACUUUGCUGGAUCGGAGUCCGGGGAUCGUCAUCGAGAUGAACGUGUGCUAGAACUCGGAGGUGCCGUAGUUUCGGUGCUUGAUCGGUCAGGCCGUGAAGACGUACGACUACAUCAACCGCGUUGUGCUAACGCUUCCGUUGUCGGUCUACAAGGGUAUCAACUUGACAAACUACCGUUGUGGUUUUGAUGCGUAGGUAAGAUUGGUUCUUGCUUAAGCCCGUAGCAGCCACGUAAAAACUUGCAACAACAAAGUAGAGGACAUCUAACUUGUUUUUGCAGGGCAUGUUGUGAUGUGAUAUGGUCAAGACAUGAUGCUGAAUUUUAUUGUAUGAGAUGAUCAUGUUUUGUAACCGAGUUAUCGGCAACUGGCAGGAGCCAUAUGGUUGUUGCUUUAUUGAUGCAAUGCAAUCGCGUUGUAAUGCUUUACUUUAUCACUAAGCAGUAGCGAUAGUCAUGGAAGCAUAAGAUUGGCGAGACGACAACGAUGCUACGAUGGAGAUCAAGGUGUCACGCCGGUGACGAUGGUGAUCACGACGGUGCUUCGAAGAUGGAGAUCACAAGCACAAGAUGAUGAUGGCCAUUCAUAUCACUUAUAUUGAUUGCAUGUGAUGUUUAUCUUUUAUGCAUCUUAUCUUGCUUUGAUUGAUGGUAGCAUUAUAAGAUGAUCUCUCACUAAUUAUCAAGAAGUGUUCUCCCUGAGUAUGCACCGUUGCGAAAGUUCUUCAUGCUGAGACACCACGUGAUGAUCGGGUGUGAUAGGCUCUACAUUCAAAUACAACGGGUGCAAAACAGUUGCACACGCGGAAUACUCAAGUUAUACUUGACGAGCCAAGCAUAUACAGAUAUGGCCUCGGAACACGGAGACCGAAGGUCGAGCGUGAAUCAUAUAGUAGAUAUGAUCAACAUAGUUAUGUUCACCAAUGAAACUACUCCAUCUCACGUGAUGAUCGGACAUGGUUUAGUUGAUUUGGAUCACGUAAUCACUUAGAAGAUUAGAGGGAUGUCUGUCUAAGUGGGAGUUCUUAAGUAAUAUGAUUAAUUGAACCUAAAUUUAUCAUGAACUUAGUACCUGAUAGUAUCUUGCUUGUUUAUGUAUGAUUGUAGAUAAAUGGCUCGUGCUGUUGUUCCGUUGAAUUUUGAUGUGCUCCUUGAGAAAGCAAAGUUGAAAGAUGAUGGUAGCAAUUACACGGAUUGGGUCCGUAACUGGAGGAUUAUCCUCAUUGCUGCACAGAAGAAUUACAUUCUGGAAGCACCGCUGGGUGCCAGGCCUGCUGCUGGAGCAACACCAGAUGUUAUGAACGUCUGGCAGAGCAAAGCUGAUGACUACUCGAUAGUUUAGUGUGCCAUGCUUUACGGCUUAGAAUCGAGACUUCAACGACGUUUUGAACGUCAUGGAGCAUAUGAGAUGUUCCAGGAGUUGAAGUUAAUAUUUCAAGCAAAUGUCCGGAUUGAGAGAUAUGAAGUCUCCAAUAAGUUCUAUAGCUGCAAGAUGGAGGAGAACAGUUCUGUCAGUGAGCAUAUACUCAAAAUGUUUGGGUAUAAUAAUCACUUAAUUCAAAUGGGAGUUAAUCUUCCAGAUGAUUGCGUCAUUGACAGAAUUCUCCAAUCAUUGCCACCAAGCUACAAGAGCUUCGUGAUGAACUAUAAUAUGCAAGGGAUGAAUAAGACUAUUCCCGAACUCUUCACAAUGUUGAAAGCUGCGGAGGUAGAAAUCAAGAAGGAGCAUCAAGUGUUGAUGGUCAACAAGACCACUAGUUUCAAGAAAAAGGGCAACGGGAAGAAGAAGGGGAACUUCAAGAAGAACAGCAAGCAAGUUGCUGCUCAAAAGAAGAAACCCAAGUCUGGACCUAAGCCUGAAACUGAGUGCUUCUACUGCAAGCAGACUGGUCACUGGAAGCGGAACUGCCCCAAGUAUUUAGCGGAUACGAAGGAUGGCAAGGUGAACAAAGGUAUAUGUGAUAUACAUGUUAUUGAUGUGUACCUUACUAAUGCUCGCAGUAGCACCUGGGUAUUUGAUACUGGUUCUGUUGCUAAUAUUUGCAACUCGAAACAGGGACUACGGAUUAAGCGAAGAUUGGCUAAGGACGAGGUGACGAUGCGCGUGGGAAAUGGUUCCAAAGUCGAUGUGAUCGCAGUCGGCACGCUACCUCUACAUCUACCUUCGGGAUUAAUAUUAGACCUAAAUAAUUGUUAUUUGGUGCCAUCGUUAAGCAUGAACAUUAUAUCUGGAUCUUGUUUGAUGCGAGGUGGUUAUUCAUUUAAAUCAGAGAAUAAUGGUUGUUCUAUUUACAUGAGUAAUAUCUUUUAUGGUCACACACCCUUGAAGAGUGGUCUAUUCUUAUUAAAUCUCGAUAGUAGUGACACACAUAUUCAUAGUGUUGAAGCCAAAAGAUGCAGAGUUGAUAAUGAUAGUGCAACUUAUUUGUGGCACUGCCGUUUGGGUCAUAUCGGUAUAAAGCGCAUGAAGAAACUCCAUACUGAUGGGCUUUUGGAACCACUUGAUUAUGAAUCACUUGGUACUUGCGAACCGUGCCUUAUGGGUAAGAUGACAAAACACCGUUCUCCGGUACUAUGGAGAGAGCAACAGAUUUGUUGGAAGUCAUACAUACAGAUGUAUGUGGUCCGAUGAAUGUUGAGGCUCGUGGCGGAUAUCGUUAUUUUCUCACCUUCACAGAUGAUUUAAGCAGAUAUGGGUAUAUCUACUUAAUGAAACACAAGUAUGAAACAUUUGAAAGGUUCAAAGAAUUUCAGAGUGAAGUGGAAAAUCAUCGUAACAAGAAAAUAAAGUUUCUACGAUCUGAUCGUGGAGGAGAAUAUUUGAGUUACGAGUUUGGUGUACAUUUGAAACAAUGCGGAAUAGUUUCGCAACUCACGCCACCCGGAACACCACAGCGUAAUGGUGUGUCCGAACGUCGUAAUCGUACUUUACUAGAUAUGGUACGAUCUAUGAUGUCUCUUACUGAUUUACCGCUAUCGUUUUGGGGAUAUGCUCUAGAGACAGCUGCAUUCACGUUAAAUAGGGCACCAUCAAAAUCCAUUGAGACGACGCCUUAUGAACUGUGGUUUGGCAAGAAACCAAAGUUGUCAUUUCUGAAAAUUUGGGGCUGCGAUGCUUAUGUGAAAAAGCUUCAACCUGAUAAGCUCGAACCCAAAUCGAAGAAAUGUGUCUUCAUAGGAUAUCCAAAGGAAACUAUUGGAUACACCUUCUAUCACAGAUCCGAAGGCAAGACUUUUGUUGCUAAAUUCGGAAACUUUCUGGAGAAGGAGUUUCUCUCGAAAGAAGUGAGUGGGAGGAAAGUAGAACUUGACGAGGUAACUGUACCUGCUCCCUUAUUGGAAAGUAGUACAUCACAGAAACCUGUUUCUGUGACAUCUACACCAAUUAGUGAGGAAGAUAAUGAUAAUGAUCAUGAAACUUCAGAACAAGAUACUACUGAACCUCAUAGAUUAAUCAGAGUAAGAUCCGCGCCAGAGUGGUAUGCUAAUCCUGUUCUGGAAGUCAUGCUACUAGAUCAUGAUGAACCUACAAACUAUGAAGAAGCGAUGGUGAGCCCAGAUUCCGCAAAAUGGCUUGAAGCCAUGAAAUCUGAGAUGGGAUCCAUGUAUGAGAACAAAGUGUGGACUUUGGUUGACUUGCCCGAUGAUCGGCAAGCAAUUGAGAAUAAAUAGAUCUUCAAGAAGAAGACUGACACUGACGGUAAUAUUACUGUCUACAAAGCUCGACUUGUCGCAAAAGGUUUUCGGCAAGUUCAAGGGGUUGACUACGAUGAGACCUUCUCACCCGUAGCGAUGCUUAAGUCUGUCCGAAUCAUGUUAGCAAUUGCCGCAUUUUAUGAUUAUGAAAUUUGGCAGAUGGAUGUCAAAACUGCAUUCCUGAAUGGAUUUCUAGAAGAAGAGUUGUAUAUGAUGCAACCAGAAGGUUUUGUCGAUCCAAAGGGAGCUAACAAAGUGUGCAAGCUCCAGCGAUCCAUUUAUGGACUGAUGCAAGCCUCUCGGAGUUGGAAUAAACGCUUUGAUAGUGUGAUCAAAGCAUUUGGUUUUAUACAGACUUUUGGAGAAGCCUGUAUUUACAAGAAAGUGAGUGGGAGCUCUAUAGCAUUUCUGAUAUUAUAUGUGGAUGACAUAUUACUGAUUGGAAAUGAUAUAGAGUUUCUGGAUAGCAUAAAGGGAUACCUGAAUAAGAGUUUUUCAAUGAAAGACCUCGGUGAAGCUGCUUACAUAUUAGGCAUUAAGAUCUAUAGAGAUAGAUCAAGACGCUUAAUUGGACUUUCACAAAGCACAUACCUUGACAAAGUUUUGAAGAAGUUCAAAAUGGAUCAAGCAAAGAAAGGGUUCUUGCCUGUGUUACAAGGUGUGAAAUUGAGUAAGACUCAAUCCCCGACCAAUGCAGAAGAUAGAGAGAAAAUGAAAGAUGUUCCCUAUGCUUCAGCCAUAGGCUCUAUCAUGUAUGCAAUGCUGUUUACCAGACCUGAUGUGUGCCUUGCUAUAAGUCUAGCAGGGAGGUACCAAAGUAAUCCAGGAGUGGAUCACUGGACAGCGGUCAAGAACAUCCUGAAAUACCUGAAAAGGACUAAGGAUAUGUUUCUCGUUUAUGGAGGUGACAAAGAGCUCAUCGUAAAUGGUUACGUUGAUGCGAGCUUUGACACUGAUCCGGACGAUUCUAAAUCGCAAACCGGAUACGUUUUUACAUUAAACGGUGGAGUUGUCAGUUGGUGCAGUUCUAAACAAAGCGUCGUGGCGGGAUCUACGUGUGAAGCAGAAUACAUAGCUGCUUCAGAAGCAGCAAAUGAAGGAGUCUGGAUGAAGGAGUUCAUAUCCGAUCUAGGUGUCAUACCCAGUGCAUCGGGUGAAAGGACCAUGAUGUCGCCUAGAGGGGGGUGAAUAGGCGUUUUAAAAUCUUUUACGGAUUUGGCUAUAUCCUAAUGCGGAAAUAAACUAAGCGGAUACUUUUCAAGCACAAAUCCUAAAUAUACUAGGCUCACUAAGUGCACCAACAACUUAGCAUAAACAAGAUGAGAACAACAGGAUAUGAGUAAGCACAAGUAAGUCACACAAACUUACUCGGUGUAUAUCACGAGGUAUGGAAAUGAAUAAUACACACAACCACAAGUAAGCAAUACAAGCUUACACAAAUUGUAUCACAAUAUAUGGAAUUUAAUGAUACAAGCAAACUCAAGUAAGUUACACAAACUUACUUGAGCAAUAUCACAAUAUAUGGAAGUUUAUAACACAAGUUAGCAAUUCACACUAAUCACAAUGUAUAUCAAUAGUAGCAAGUAUGAAUUGCGGAAUAUGAAGUGUAGGCCUAAAUAAUCUCUACAAGGAAAUGGCCAACACAAUAUAAUCAACCACCACAAUAUAAUGAGGACAACAAGAUAUAGUAAAUGCACGGUCAAAUGACCAAAGUCAACCACAAGUAAGGAGUUAGGGUUAGGGAUAACCAAAGUCACGGAGACGAGGAUGUAUCUCGAUGUUCACUUCCUUGGAGAGAAGCUAGUCACCGUUAGAGAGGUGGAUGUUACCACGAAGGCACACCAACGCCACGAAGGCUCACCCUAUUCUCCUUGAGAUAUCACCACGAAGGCAAUUCUAAACCACUAGUGGUAGACCUUGAGGCGGCCUCCAAACCUUCACAAACUUUCUGGGGGACAAAUCACAAGUUGAUUCCUCACCGGAGCACUCCUACCGCCUAGGAGUCUCCAACCUCCAAGAGUAACAAGAUCAAGGAGGAAAUGCUCAAGACUUGCUCAAAUCACGAAUUGCUUUGGUCACAAGAGGGAGAGGGAGAGGAUCUAUCUUUUGAUUGGAACAACUCUCAAGAACACUCACUAAUCUCUCCGGGAUCUAAGAUUUGGUGUAGGAGAAGUGAGAGGAAGCCACUUGUGUUCUUGGGAUGAUUUGGGAUGAAGUGCUCAAUCCUCCCCCGGAGUGGGAGAGGGAUAUUUAUACCCCCAAAGAAAAUAGAGCCGUUUCCCGCAGUUGUUGACCUGCCCGGAUGAUCUGGACGCAUACCCGGAUGAUCCGGGCAAUUCCCGGAUGAUCCGGGAAGGUCAAUAUACAAUGUGAUGAAGUAGAUACCCGAAUGUCCGGGGACAUAGCCGGAUGAUCCGGGCAAUUCCCGGAUGAUCCGGGUGGGUAGCCGGAUGAUCCGGCUAGCGGAAUAAGCUUCUGUGAUGAAUUUUACGAAUAACCCGGAUGAUCCGGGCAAAGCCCGGAUGAUAUGGGAGAGGACCCGGAUGAUCCGGCCAAACCAAACUGCUGCAGCCUAGAAAUUGAAACAGGCACAACUUUUACAUCCGGACUCCGAUUUUGAUGAUCUUGGGCUCGUUUUGAAGCUAUGAAAAAAACCCAGGUCCUCACAUAGAGAACCACCCAAGAUGAACCAAAAUGGAGGAUGCAAAAUAUGCAAAGGUUUUAUCAUGUAUUUGGGUAACCUAUUUGGCUUUGGAUUUUCUUUGGUAUAUAGGAUAUGAGUGGAAUUGUGUAGAGAAGAUGUUGACUUGAGCAAAUCUAUCACGAACCCCUUUGAUCCCCUCUUAAUAGUGCGAGAUCCCUAUAACUCAAGAAUCAUAAAAGGUCUACACUACAUAGCUAUCAAUAAUCCAUUCUUGAGUGUAUGUGUUCCUUCGGUGUUCAUCACUCCACAACACUAACGUCGAAGGAACUAAUACCUUUGACUCGAGCCUUUCACUUGAGCUUGAAGUUGAAGUUUCUUCUUGGAUCAAGUUGAAUGGCAAGACAUUGGUGAAGUCUUCAAGUAGCUCCCCCAUACACAAUGUGGGAAGCUUUGCUUUGUAUUUAUCUUCAUGUGUCCAUCAUGUGAUCAUCCACAAGCUUCAAGCAUGUAAUCCUUUGGGAUAGUUAUCUUGAACUUGCCCUUUUCAACCAUGAUCAUCAACACUUGAUGUCAUCCUCUCAUAGACACUUGAAAUAUCUCUCUCGAUGCGAGCCCAUGAGAAUCUCCUCUCAAAAACAUAGGCAACACAUAGUAUGGGUUAGUACACAAAGCGCAAUUGACAAAUUCUUACCAUACCACAAGAUCUCACGUGGCACAUGAUUUGCGCUUGUGUGUUGACCAUCUUUGAAUUCAAUCUUUGAUCUUCAUCUUGGUCAACCUUAAUCUUUGCUCCAUGAUUAAUCUUGAUGCACAACUACAUGUAUAUGGCAUUCAUUCCGAAUCCAUUCAAUAUCCUUCUUGCAUCACCCAUGGAACAAACCUUCCUAUAUAACUUGAUGUCAUUGUUUCUUCAUAGGAAUUGUCAUUCAUUAUCAAGUCUUAAUGCAUAUAUAGAUGUUGAUGGAUUUCAUCCACCAAUUCAUCCAAUAUUCUUCAUGCAUUGCAAAUGGAACUUUCCUUCAAAUGUAUAUCUCAGUGCAAACAUUAGUCCAUUAGGAUUGUCAUUUAAUUACCAAAACCACACAUGGGGACUACAUGUACUUUCAUCGGGUUCAAUGAAAAUCUUUUGUGACAAUACUGGUGCAAUUGCCUUGGCAAAGGAAUCCAGAUUUCACAAGAGAACCAAGCACAUCAAGAGACGCUUCAGUUCCAUCCGGGAUCUAGUCCAGGUGGGAGACAUAGAGAUUUGCAAGAUACAUACGGAUCUGAAUGUAGCAGACCCGUUGACUAAGCCUCUUCCACGAGCAAAACAUGAUCAGCACCAAGGCUCCAUGGGUGUUAGAAUCAUUACCGUGUAAUCUAGAUUAUUGACUCUAGUGCAAGUGGGAGACUGAAGGAAAUAUGCCCUAGAGGCAAUAAUAAAGUUAUUAUUUAUUUCCUUAUAUCAUGAUAAAUGUUUAUUAUUCAUGCUAGAAUUGUAUUAACCGGAAACAUAAUACAUGUGUGAAUACAUAGACAAACAGAGUGUCACUAGUAUGCCUCUACUUGACUAGCUCGUUAAUCAAAGAUGGUUAUGUUUCCUAACCAUGAACAAAGAGUUGUUAUUUGAUUAACGGGAUCAUAUCAUUAGGUGAAUGAUCUGAUUGACAUGACCCAUUCCAUUAGCUUAGCACCCGAUCGUUUAGUAUGUUGCUAUUGCUUUCUUCAUGACUUAUACAUGUUCCUAUGACUAUAAGAUUAUGCAACUCCCGUUUACCAGAGGAACACUUUGUGUGCUACCAAACGUCACAACGUAACCGGGUGAUUAUAAAGGUGCUCUACAGGUGUCUCCAAAGGUACAUGUUGGGUUGGUGUAUUUCGAGAUUAGGAUUUGUCACUCCGAUUGUCGGAGAGGUAUCUCUGGGCCCUCUCGGUAAUGCACAUCACAUAAGCCUUGCAAGCAUUGCAACUAAUGAUUUAGUUGUGAGAUGAUGUAUUACGGGACGAGUAAAGAGACUUGCCGGUAACGAGAUUGAACUAGGUAUUGAGAUACCGACGAUCGAAUCUCAGGCAAGUAACAUACCGAUGACAAAGGGAACAACAUAUGUUGUUAUGCGGUCUGACCGAUAAAAGAUCUUUGUAGAAUAUGUAGGAGCCAAUAUGAGCAUCCAGGUUCCGCUAUUGGUUAUUCACCAGAGACGUGUCUCGGUCAUGUCUACAUUGUUCUCGAACCCGUAGGGUCCGCACGCUUAAGGUUUCGAUGAAAGUUAUAUUAUGAGUUUAUGCAUUUUGAUGUACCGAAGUUUGUUCGGAGUCCCGGAUGUGAUCACGGACAUGACGAGGAGUCUUGAAAUGGUCGAGACAUAAAGAUUGAUAUAUUGGAAGCCUAUAUUUGGAUAUCAGAAGUGUUCCGGGUGAAAUCGGGAUUUUACCGGAGUACCGGGAGGUUAUCGGAACCCCCGGGGAGGUAUAUGGGCCUUAGGGGCUUUAGUGGAAGAGAGGAGAGGUGGCUAGGGCUGGGCCGCGCGCCCCUCCCCCCCUAGUUCGAAUAGGACAAGGAGAGGGGGGCGGCGCCCCCUCUUUCCUUCUCUCUCUCCUCUUUCCCCCUCCCGAAUCCUAUUCCAACUAGGAAAGGGGGGGAAUUCUACUCCCGGUGGGAGUAGGACUCCUCCUGGCACGCCCUCCUCCUGGCCGGCCGCACCCCCCCUUUGAUCCUUUAUAUACGGAGGCAGGGGGCACCCCUAGACACACAAGUUGAUCCACGUGAUCAUAUUCUUAGCCGUGUGCGGUGCCCCCUUCCACCAUAGUCCUUGAUAAUAUUGUAGCGGUGCUUAGGCGAAGCCCUGCGACGGUAGUACAUCAAGAUCGUCACCACGCCGUCGUGCUGGCGGAACUCUUCCCCGACACUUUGCUGGAUUGGAGUCCGGGGAUCGUCAUCGAGCUGAACAUGUGCUAGAACUCGGAGGUGUCGUAGUUUCGGUGCUUGAUCGGUCAGGCCUUGAAGACGUACGACUACAUCAACCGCGUUGUGCUAACGCUUCCGCUGUCGGUCUACAAGGGUACGUAGAUCACACUCUCCCCUCUCGUUGCUAUGCAUCACCAUGAUCUUGCGUGUACAUAGAAAUUUUUUAAAAAUUACUACAUUCCCCAACAGUAUCUCUUUCCACCUUUUGUCAACACGCCAUUCAUCUCACAAAGAUCAGAAUGUAUAAGCUCUAGUGGCGCCAAGUUUCUUGCCUCUGCAUUCUUAUGUGACUUGCGAGGUUGCUUAGCUUGCACACAUACUUGGCACUUGGAGCCUUUGACAGUAGAGAUUUUCGGAAUUAAAUUCAUAUUGGCUAACCGCGUCAUGCAGCCAAAGUUAAUAUGAUAGAGUCGUGAAUGCCAAAUAUCAGACUCAUUAUUGUGGCACUAAUAACUUUAGUGCAAAUAUCUGACAAAGAUAGGCGGAACAAGCCUCCGCACUCAUAGCCUUUUCCAACAAAUUGUCCACACUUAGAAAUUACAACUUUAUUGGAUUCGAAAACCAACUUAAAACCAUCUCGACAUAAACGGGAACCGCUAACGAGAUUUUUAUUGAUGGAUGGCACAUGAUGAAUGUUCUUCAGACGCACAGUCUUCCCCGAAGUAAACUUCAGAUCGACCGUACCAACACCUCGAACGAUGGCAUGUGACCCGUUCCCCAUCAGCACGGGUGAAGUCCCUGUUGCCUGGUAAGAAAAAAACAUGGAGGCGUCAGCACAAACAUGUACAUUGGCACCAGUGUCAAUUAACCAAUCAGGGGAUUGAAAUACUAAAAGGAUGGUAGGAAAAAUACCAUACCCUGAUUCCUUCAUAUCAGUAUCACCGAUGACAACAUUAGCGGACUUGCCGCUCUUCUCAUGUUCGCGCUCCUCAAAGCGGUUAGGACACUUCGGAGCCCAGUGAUUAGGAUCACCGCAGACAUGGCAAAGUCCCUUCCCCUUCUUAUGAGAAUUCUUCUUGAAGUUGGUAGAAUGUGAUGGCUUGUUCUUUGUAUCAAACUUGCCUUUGCCCUGAGUUUUGUUCUUAUUAUUUUUGAACUUGUUGGGUUGGGAGUUCUUCUUAUGUACCAUGUGGGCACUAGAACCUCCCUCAGCAACUCGAGCACGUGUGUCCUUUGCUCUCGCCUUCUCUUCAACAUCAAGAGUACCAAUGAGAUCCGCAACGGAAAACACCUGUCUCUUGUGUUUCAGGGAAGUAGCAAAAUUAUUUCACGAAGGUGGAAGCUUGGCAAUGAUGCCUCCGGCAACAAAUUUGUCCGGCAACACACACUUGAAGUACUCAAGUUCUUUUGCGAGCGACUGUAUCUCAUGAGCCUGCUAUACAACGGGCGCUCAUCAGUCAUCUUGUAGUCAUAGAAUUGCUCCAUGACGUACAACUCGCUGCCGGCGUCCGAGGCACCAAACUUGGCCUCGAGCGCAGCCCACAUGUCCUCGCCGUUGUCAAACGACAUAUACGAAUCCACAAUGGAGUCAUCAAGAACACUCAGAAGAGCGCCUUUAAAGAGGGUAUCGAUCUUCUCAAAAGCUUCCAGCUGUGCUGGAUUAAGAUCGCCCUCAGGCUUGCCCCUGGUGGCAUCAUAGCAGGCCAUGGUCUGAAACCAGUAGACUGCUCUCGUGCGCCACCUCUUAUAUUGCGCCUCCUUAAAGGCAAGCGGCUUCAGAUGCGCAACAAAACCACUCGGAGUAAAUUGUCUAUAAUCAGGUUUUUGGAUUGUUGGAAAUAUGAGCAAAUUACUACGAGAUUUAAUCCGAAUAAACAGAAGAUAAAUCAUGACCACAUCAGUAGAGAUUAAACUAAUCAUGCGAACUAGCAUAGCAGAUGAACAUAUCACAUCUAGGGUACAUACUAGAAGCAUGAAUUCUACCACGAUCUCGAACAGGAAGGAUAGAAUCACAUACGGUGCAGCAGGUGCAGCACCGCCGGCGUUGACGUUGUCGCCCAUGUCGUCGAGGACGAGGUUGCCGAGGUCGGGGAAGAAGUCAUCGUUCGCGAAGUCGUCGCUGCCAGCAGUCGCGCGAGUGCGCUCCCCAAAAACCUGAUCGCCCCUCUCCCAUACAGGAUCACGAGAGGCGGGGUUCCGGAGGCCUGUUGUCCCUUCUCGCGGUGCACGCCGGAAGGAGGGAUGGAGAAGACUUGCUUGGCGGCGCAAUGAUCUGGAACGGUGGUGAGAAACCAUACGAAGCGGCGGCGGCUAGGGUAGACGUCUGCCUGACUAUAUAGUACGGGCCGGGUAGGUCGUGGGAGUAAACCCCACGUCCGAAUCGUCACGAUCCAAAAAAAUCAGAAACGGUUCAGUAAUUAACGCGUCCGUUAAUUAUUAAUUAAUGACUCAUUGCACCUCGUGACGAGACGUGGCGUGGCGAGGCGAGUGAGGAGGAGCGCGCAUGUAGGUCUCCUCUUCUCAUGCUCAUACAAGUGGUAGAAGAGCUCACCUUAUAAAGAGGUGCAACUCUCUCUCAACUUCCGGGGGGGGGGACUAAACUUUAGGAGGUGUUUGGUUGGAUGAUUUCUGCCCGUCACCUAAUUACAGCGUGAUCUGAAAACGUUAUGCGCGUUUGGUAACGCAGCGCCGUAAUCGGCUCCCACCGUAAACGAGUCCCGUCACACUUGCACUCGAUACCGCCCACCCCCCACCGUAAUCAAGUUGCGUUACCGAACCGAGCCCCACUCUUUUUCCUCGCCUCCUCACAAUCCUCUCUGCCUCGUCCAAAGUCGCCCGUCAGGCUGCCCCGAUCCCUUCGCUUUAUUGAAGCCGCCGGUUAGUGCCACCACUUCCCUCCUUCCAGUCGCCGGAGAUGCCUCCAUGGCCUGCAUCUCAGUGAGGAACCCCAUCGACGCCGACAAGGACAGGCUUGAGGAUGACCCCUCUUAUCCCUCUUCCUUGGAACCCCCCACCCCCGAUCUGCUCGCCGGCCAAAUCCCUUUCCAUGAUUUGUUUAUUGCUCAAGUUAAUUGUCGUCAAGAUCAUGUUAGCUUGUUCCUGACUUCGAUUCUGUGAGAUUUUUUGUUUUUUGCAAUCUGAUUACACAGCAGAUCAUGUUAGCUCUGUAACUUGAUACCUUGAUCAUGUUAGCUCUGUAACUUGAUACCUUUACAUGCAUGAAACAAACAGAAAAGCAAAUGCUCCUAUUACGCCGUGAUCCCACCGCUACCUGAUUCCAUUACCAGUCUCGCUACCUUUGGUUGUACCAAACACAUCCUUAGCCUCACUCACUCCACUCACAUGUGUGCAUGAAUAGACCAAGAGAAUUUCAAAAUUUUAGUUGAGCUUUGGGCCAAAGGCCUACUAGCAAAAUUCCAACACCAUGUGCUUUGGGAGCAACCAGGUGACAUUAUGCACGUGCAUCCAUUGAAACUUAGUUCGGAUGGACAAAAUGAAUCCUAUUUUUUGUAGUGAAAAUUACUAAAUCCUUGGCAAAAUUGCUCCAGCACACAUCUAUAUUACGUAUUCACCAAACAUUUGAUUUAUGUCAUUUUUCCAAUAAGAAUACUGCUUUUUUGAGAGAAAACAGUACAGUACUAGUAUUAGGCCGCGCUUGGAAUCGGUGUAAAUAUAUACAAGUGUAUUUUUCUUACGGGUGUAUCUUACCGGUCAGGAGCGAUUUGCAGGCGGAAACGAAAACGACGGACGGUGGCCUGUAACUUUUACAAGCGUAUUCAAAGUAGAAACAACAUUCCAAACAGGGCCUUAGGUAUUUCUGUUCUGAGCAAAACUGUACUUCCUCCAUUACUAAAUAUUUGUCUUUGUAGAUAUUCUAACAAGUGACUACAUACGGAGUAAAAUGAGUGAAUCUACAUUCUAAAAUAUGUCUACGUAAAAUGAGUGAAUCUACAUUCUAAAAUAUGUCUACAUACAUUCGUGUGUGGUAGUCUAUUUAAAAUAUUUAGAAAGACAAAUAUUUAGGAACGAGGAAGUACUAUUUAGGUGCGAAAUUACGAAUUAAACUUCCGCCAGUAGUUUUUUUUCCCGAGGCAAACCAGUAGAUUCCAGCAAAAAGGGAAACUACUGCCAGAAGGAACUACUGGGCCUAGCAAUUUAGAGCCCAAUUCUUAUCAAAUGACGACCAGAAAUAGGCCCACGGCCUGAACCACCAGCGGGGCCCACGACUUGAACUACCAGGGCAGCGCAGGGGCGUAGCAGGUUUAGUACCACCUCGCGAACGGGAGGAGAACGCAGCCGAAGAGCCACCUAUAUAACAGGCGCCUUGGCCAACGUUGCAAAGCACUUACCUGGACGGGGUCAACAGCCGAUCAAGAAGAGCUGUGGCCUAGAUCAAUGGCUCACAUUGCACCUUGUUGAGUGUGUUGGCCUACCAUCUCCCUACGGGGAGAGUGGACGUCAUAAUUUGUGCUAGAGGGGGUACGCGUUCGCGCGGCCCCUGCCAAUCUUUGAAAAUUAAAAUUCGGUCCUUGGCAGCGAUUGUUUGUGCUUCUCUGUUGCCCCUGCCGCUCUUCCAAAUUUCUCGUCCUGCACUGCAGUUUACGAUGGAUGUUUGGCAGCUACAUGGCCCAUAGUACACACUUCUAAACUACCGUACAGAAUAGCCUAAGCCUUAAAGUACAGACAAGCUAAAAUAGAACACACGAUACAGAUUAGCCACUACUAGUAGAGGCCAAUAAAAUAAGAGACACUGUCACCGCCAUGCAUAGUGUAGUGGUACUAGAGGAGAUGGCAUGUCACGCUGGGAAGCCGUUGACUGCAUGCGUAGGUGCGGAGCGUUUAGGCGAUGUCGAUGGAGCGGACGUUGCGCUGCUUCUGGGCUUGCUCGUCCUUGGGCACGACGACCCUGAGCACGCCGUCCUGCAUGGUGCACCGGAUGCCGUCCGCCUUGGCGUUCUCCGGCAGGCGGAACCGGCGCAUGAAGGACCCGAAGCUGCGCUCCACGCGGUUCCACGCGUCGCCCUUGUGCUCCUCCUCCCGCGUCUUCUCCCCGCUGAUCUUGAGCACGUUGCCGUCCUCCACCUCCACCUUCACGUGCUCCUUCCUCACCCCUACACGCACGGCAGGUCGGCAGCAGCAUCAAUGGAUCAGAUGGAAAGCUUUUCUGUGAGGCCACCACCUCAACCAUAAGGACACGGGACACCACGUACUUACCGGGUAUCUCCGCGGAGAAGAUGUGCUCCUUGUCGUUCUCGUGCCAGUCAAUGUUGGUGCGAGCCAUGGCGGUGGCGUCGUCGCGGCUGCCGCCUUCGCCGCCUCGGCGGCCGGCGUCCAAGGGCCAGGAAGCGCCGAAGGGGUCCCAGAGGUCGGAGGAGAAGGGGUCCCAGAGGUCGGAGGAGAAGGGGUCCAUCCCUCCCCGGCCACCGCCGAACCAAGGCAUAAGCGACAUGGCUGACACGCACGGUGGGUGUUUGGUUGGCACUAUGUCCCACGAGACGGAUAUGCUACCAGGCUGUUUGUGGUGGCAAGAGCGCUUUCUCCUGGGCAGUUUUAUAGCACUCCAAAGCGCUUGCAUACAUGGCCGCGUGGAGCAUCGGCUUGACACGUUCGCUGUGUACGUGCCGCCCGCGUGCACAGGUGUUGCCGCAGCGACGACUCUUGUGAUGCUUGCCGCUGGCCACUCCGGCCGCGGCGGCCACCAGAUCCCGGUGCGCGCCGGGCGCGCCCUCUCGCCAAAGAGCCAUGGGGCGCUCGCGCUCGUCCAGAUCCACCGGCGGUCGACGUUGGUGCCAGUCGACGUUGGUGCGAGCCGUCGCGGCUGCCGCCUUGGCGUCCGGCGUCCAAGGGCCAGGAAGCGCCGAAGGGGUCCCAGAGGUCGGAGGAGAAGGGGUCCAUCCCUCCCCGGCCACCGCUGAACCAAGGCAUGAGCGACAUGGCUGGCUGACACGCACGGCGAUGUUUGGUUGAAACGAUGUCCCACGAGACAGAUAUGCUACCGGGCUGUUUGUAGUGG
This 42188-nucleotide long non-coding RNA is filed under the name Triticum aestivum (bread wheat). RNAcentral describes it as "long non-coding RNA (TAES_LNC014381)". The stretch from base 40517 to 40676 matches the Rfam family "U1 spliceosomal RNA". Lineage: Eukaryota; Viridiplantae; Streptophyta; Magnoliopsida; Poales; Poaceae. The record is from RNAcentral.